Molecule: long non-coding RNA, 1053 nt
Organism: Passer domesticus (house sparrow)
Lineage: Eukaryota; Metazoa; Chordata; Aves; Passeriformes; Passeridae
Exons: 2
Source: RefSeq, a predicted model, not a curated record
GGCAGCGCGUCCCGUCCGAGACCUCCUCCAUCCCUGUAUCCUUGCGGCCACCUGGCCUUGCCCACGGCAGCUCUUCCACGGGGAGACUGGCAGCGUGGCCUCUGCCCGGCCUGUCAAACUCACUAAAGUCAGCCCCCGCAGGACCCCCCCAAAAGCUGCUAUCUGCCCAAAAGCCCAGGCAGAAGCAGAUCUCAUCGUCCAGCUCCUCAGACACAGCAUGUCCCCAAAUCCAGUCUUUGUGCCAUGUUUCUUCUGUUGCGCCAGGUAACAGAACCAAAGAAGCACCGAAGUUACUAAUGAGGUUUGACAAGGUCCUGAAGAAGUUGUACAUCAGCCCCUCCUGUCAGCUCCUCUGCACAAGUGUUCCAGCAAAAAUGUGUCAGCCUUUUUUGAGAACAUAACUAGACAAAAAUGACGUGAAGGUCUGUGUGGGAAACAUCAGGGAAGAAGCUGAAAAAUCGAAUGUUUGGAGAUUUUGUGGUUCUAAGACCAAAAAAUGAUUGGACAAAAGCCUGUGGCUGCUCCACUGAUGUGAGGCUGAAGAUACGAUCUGAGCAGAGCAUUAGGCAAUACCCCUGAUGGUGGGGGGUGGACAGCUGCCCUACCUGCUGUCUCCCCACUACAGCUAUUCUCUUUUGGAGACUAAAUGGAGCAGGUAGAACUGUCUUAAACUGAUUUCAUGGAGAACACGAUGCUGGAGACAAAUGGAAUAUAAACUUCCCUUCAAAAAGUUGCGAAGAAAAUUGAUGUAAUGUGAUAAGAAAACGUUCAGACAAUUUUUCAGUUGCAGAUAAUAAAACAAAAAUAUUUUUCCAGUAAGUUUACCGGAGAGAAAGCUUUCAGCAUCUAAUAAAUAUCAAUAUUACAAUGUGGUUAUAAAUCAGUAAGGUAAACAUUGGUUUGAGUCAAAAUGAUGAAGAAAAGAGGUAUGUAGAAUUCAGUAAUAAAAAAUCUAAAGAAUGAAGAUUAAGUUAAUACUACUGAAAAAGCAUUAUUGCUUGUUUUCAAGGCUGUUAUAAUUUGAGUUAAUAAAUGGAACAGUGAAAUGUGGUA